Mauremys mutica (yellowpond turtle) is the source of this 427-nucleotide long non-coding RNA. RefSeq lists it as uncharacterized. NCBI's taxonomy places the organism in Eukaryota, Metazoa, Chordata, Testudines, Geoemydidae. The transcript has 3 exons. The record is from RefSeq and is a predicted model, not a curated record.
CAGAACCAGGCCUGCUGGGAGAUAUGAAGAGCAGCCUGCAUUCAAUGAGGGAAACUCCAGGUACACAGCAGCUCUGAGAGUAUCCGACCACUGCAGUGCCACCUUGCUGGAUGAGUGCCAAAUGUCCAUCCAUGGGGCAAUGAUGGAUGUUGUCAAUGGGGAGAGAAUGCCAGUCUUCUACUGGACCUACUAAACCGUGCAAGGAAGUCAGAAUAUCCAAAUCAUCACAUUAAAUGGGUCACAGAGCUGUACACUUUACAAUCCAGUUUUGCAGACGGUUCAAAUUCUGAUUUUACAUUCCACAAGAACAGGAGACCAUACAACUUAAAUCCAUCUCUGUGAUCACAACCAUAAAUGUGAGCAGCAAAUGUUAUAACACCUAAUCCAUUCUAAUGACCAUUUUUAAAGUAUAAUGGGAUUUUUUCUU